AAACGACUCUCGGCAACGGAUAUCCCGGCUCUCGCAUCGAUGAAGAACGUAGCGAAAUGCGAUACUUGGUGUGAAUUGCAGAAUCCCGUGAACCAUCGAGUCUUUGAACGCAAGUUGCGCCUGAGGCCUCUAGGCUAAGGGCACGUCUGCCUGGGUGUCACGC
This 163-nucleotide ribosomal RNA is filed under the name Perideridia californica. RNAcentral describes it as "5.8S ribosomal RNA". It matches the Rfam family "5.8S ribosomal RNA". From Rfam's summary of the family: 5.8S ribosomal RNA (5.8S rRNA) is a component of the large subunit of the eukaryotic ribosome. It is transcribed by RNA polymerase I as part of the 45S precursor that also contains 18S and 28S rRNA. Lineage: Eukaryota; Viridiplantae; Streptophyta; Magnoliopsida; Apiales; Apiaceae. The record is from RNAcentral.